UAGGGAAUCUUCGGCAAUGAACGGAAGUCUGACCGAGCAACGCCGCGUGAGUGAAGAAGGUUUUCGGAUCGUAAAGCUCUGUUGUAAGAGAAGAACGAGUGUGAGAGUGGAAAGUUCACACUGUGACGGUAUCUUACCAGAAAGGGACGGCUAACUACGUGCCAGCAGCCGCGGUAAUACGUAGGUUCCGAGCGUUGUCCGGAUUUAUUGGGCGUAAAGCGAGCGCAGGCGGUUAGAUAAGUCUGAAGUUAAAGGCUGUGGCUUAACCAUAGUAGGCUUUGGAAACUGUUUAACUUGAGUGCAAGAGGGGAGAGUGGAAUUCCAUGUGUAGCGGUGAAAUGCGUAGAUAUAUGGAGGAACACCGGUGGCGAAAGCGGCUCUCUGGCUUGUAACUGACGCUGAGGCUCGAAAGCGUGGGGAGCAAACAGGAUUAGAUACCCUGGUAGUCCACGCCGUAAACGAUGAGUGCUAGGUGUUAGACCCUUUCCGGGGUUUAGUGCCGUAGCUAACGCAUUAAGCACUCCGCCUGGGGAGUACGACCGCAAGGUUG
Molecule: ribosomal RNA, 550 nt
Filed under: uncultured bacterium
Lineage: Bacteria
Description: bacterial SSU rRNA
Rfam family: Bacterial small subunit ribosomal RNA
Source: RNAcentral